CACACGACUCUCGGCAAUGAAUAUCUCGGCUCUCGCAUCGAUGAAGAAUGUAGCGAAAUGCGAUACCUGGUGUGAAUUGCAGAAUCCCGUGAACCAUCGAGUUUUUGAACGCAAGUUGCGCUCGAGGCAUUUUGGCUGAGGGCAUGCCUGCCUGGGCGUCACGC
RNAcentral lists this ribosomal RNA (164 nucleotides) under Hordeum stenostachys. Its description in RNAcentral is "5.8S ribosomal RNA". It matches the Rfam family "5.8S ribosomal RNA". Rfam says of the family: 5.8S ribosomal RNA (5.8S rRNA) is a component of the large subunit of the eukaryotic ribosome. The record is from RNAcentral. Lineage: Eukaryota; Viridiplantae; Streptophyta; Magnoliopsida; Poales; Poaceae.